Non-coding RNA from Vigna umbellata (rice bean), 202 nucleotides. The record is from RefSeq and is a predicted model, not a curated record. Lineage: Eukaryota; Viridiplantae; Streptophyta; Magnoliopsida; Fabales; Fabaceae.
CCUUGCCCAUACCUAUUGUUGAAAAUAACAUACCUAUUGUUGAAAAUAACAUACCUAUUGUUGAAAAUAACAUGAUGACAAUAGGACAAACAAUAGGUACAUUCGUGGCAUGGCUAAUCAAUCUCAUACAAGUUGUUGAUGAGGAUUUCACUCAAUCUAAAAAGAAAAGGAUGAAUAAUACAAAUGAAUGUGUCGCACCUAA